This 935-nucleotide ribosomal RNA is filed under the name Proteus columbae. Its description in RNAcentral is "partial 16S ribosomal RNA". It matches the Rfam family "Bacterial small subunit ribosomal RNA", at positions 502 to 1437 of the family's 1533-position model. Lineage: Bacteria; Pseudomonadati; Pseudomonadota; Gammaproteobacteria; Enterobacterales; Morganellaceae. The record is from RNAcentral.
UCCGUGCCAGCAGNCGCGNUAAUNCGGAGGGUGCANGCNUUANNNGNAAUUACUGGGCGUAAAGCGCACGCNGGCGGUCAAUUAANUNAGAUGUGAAAGCCCCGAGCUNAACUUGGNAAUUGCAUNUGAAACUGNNNGGNNAGANUNNNUAGAGGGGGGUAGANUUCCACGUGNAGCGGUGAANUGCGUAGAGAUGUGGAGGAAUACCGGUGGCGAAGGCGGCCCCCUGGACAAAGACUGACGNUCAGGUGCGAAAGCGUGGGGAGCAAACAGGAUUAGAUACCNUGGUANUCCACGCUGUAAACGAUGUCGAUUUAGAGGUUGUGGUCUUGAACCGUGGCUUCNGGAGCUAACGCGUUAAAUCGACCGCCUGGGGAGUACGGCCGCAAGGUUAAAACUCAAAUGAAUUGACGGGGGCCCGCACAAGCGGUGGAGCAUGUGGUUUAAUUCGAUGCAACGCGAAGAACCUUACCUACUCUUGACAUCCAGCGAAUCCUUUAGAGAUAGAGGAGUGCCUUCGGGAACGCUGAGACAGGUGCUGCAUGGCUGUCGUCAGCUCGUGUUGUGAAAUGUUGGGUUAAGUCCCGCAACGAGCGCAACCCUUAUCCUUUGUUGCCAGCGCGUGAUGGCGGGAACUCAAAGGAGACUGCCGGUGAUAAACCGGAGGAAGGUGGGGAUGACGUCAAGUCAUCAUGGCCCUUACGAGUAGGGCUACACACGUGCUACAAUGGCAGAUACAAAGAGAAGCGACCUCGCGAGAGCAAGCGGAACUCAUAAAGUCUGUCGUAGUCCGGAUUGGAGUCUGCAACUCGACUCCAUGAAGUCGGAAUCGCUAGUAAUCGUAGAUCAGAAUGCUACGGUGAAUACGUUCCCGGGCCUUGUACACACCGCCCGUCACACCAUGGGAGUGGGUUGCAAAAGAAGUAGGUAGCUUA